UUAAGCUCCCUCUCAUGGCGAUGAAAGAGCUCAGACAUGGCUCCCACGAAUGCGUGUUGACCUCGCCUGAAACCAUAGCAGAUGGCAUAUGCAAUAUGUGUUUCAAAGAUAAACCUGUCGAGUUCGCAUGUAGUUCUUGUAACUUCGAUCUAUGUAAAGCUUGCUCUGAUAUACCACCGAAGGUGUCACACGAAUUUCACUCGGAGCAUCCUCUAGAUUUGUGUCUCCGAAAAUAUGAUCAAAAGCCUGGACACAUCAUCUGCUCCGGAUGUGGUAACAUGUCUUCAGAUUGUUUCUACAAGUGCAAAGAGUGUGAGAUCUACCUUGAUCUGGAUUGUGCACUCCUGCCUAACAUUUUCAGGAGCUGGGAUAUCAAAACAGAGCUCCAUUACAGCCAUGCUCACUUGCUUAAGAGGUGUAGACCAGGACCAGAUGCUAGAGGAUCUUGUCUCUUGUGUGAGCUUCCUUUAUCUCCUUCCUCAAUAUGUUACGGUUGCGUUCAUUGUUACGGGUUUGUACAUGAGCGUUGCCGCAACUUCCCCGUAGAGUUUCAACAUCCUGUGCAUCCGCAACACCCUCUCAAGCGCCUUGAUUUCACCUUAAAUUGUGGUCCUGGAAUAUCUUGUUAUAAGUGUAGGAACGAAAUCUACACCGUUCCGGUUGGUUGUUUAGAAUGCAAAUUUUUCCUUCACCUGAGGUGUGCGGAUUCCAUGUUGCGAGGUUUGAUGCACAAGUCUCAUCAACACAUGUUGUUUUAUGUCGGUUGCUAUACCUAUGUGUAUACACUUGGUUUCAAUGAGAAUUAUCACUGUGCGAUAUGCAAUAAGUAUACGGGUGAACAGUUUUAUCAGUGCCUUGAAUGUGGCUGGAAGGUUCAUUGCGAAUGUAUUGAGAUACCUCGGUCCCUAGUAAAGAAAAAUUUCCACAUCCAUCCACUUGCGUUUACAAUCUUUCUAGGUGAGGAUGAAUUAUUGGAGUAUUGUGGCGUUUGCGAGACAAUGGUACAUGUAGGACAUCAUGUUUAUUCCUGCCAAGAAUGUGAUUAUCUUGGCCACAUUGAAUGCAUUUUACGCAAGGAAGCGCCUUCGCCAUUGUAUUUGAAAGAUCUCGACAUGACAAGAGGCACAAAUGGAGAAGAUUGUAAAACCGAAAAAUUGGAAAAUAAGCUUACGGUUAAUGUAAUCGAGCAUACUCAUGUGAUGAUGAGUUGGGACACUGGAAAUAACAAUACAUCAUGCGGCAUAUGCGAAGGAAAUAUAUUAAGUAGCUCAUGGAAAUGUGAGACAUGUUAUUUCUUUGCACAUGAUUCUUGUGUAAAGCUGGGGAGACCAUCAAGGCAUAGACUUCAUUUGAACCAUGAUUUGACUCUCAUGUCAAGUUACCCAACAGGAGUUAUCAUGAGUUGCAACACCUGCAAAGGGGAAAUAAGAGGUUUCAAUCUCUUAUGUCGUAUAUGCAUUUUAAUUACCUGCAUGCGUUGUGUAGUAAAGUUUGGGGAGUUACAAAGAGGGCAAAAAGUCAUUGGAACCACAAAAGUAAAAUGCAGCAUGUAUGUUGGGAGUCACCAUUUGUUUCAAGUUAUGGUAUCUAAUUCAUAUCCGACAGCUUGCACUAUUUGUGAUGAGAGGUUGUGUAGUGGGAAAGUUUUGUCAUGUAUGGAGUGUGGAGAGAUAUAUCAUCCUCAUUGUAUUGAAACUUUCAGGGAGAAACUCAUUCAUCCCAUUCAUUCUGAUCACAAGCUUGAAAUCAAGAUGAAGGUUGGAUCUAAGUGCAUUGCCUGCGAACUGAAUAUUACAAAGUAUGGUCUGUUUUGCUCUCUUUGCAAAGCCAGCUUCCAUAUUAAAUGUAGAGAAGCAGUCGAUGAUGCAUCAGGGAAGAACAAUGUUUGACCUUCACAAGUAUACUUUCUAGUUUCUAUAACUUUUGGAUGUUUGCUGAAUGUUUCGAAAUUUUCUUUCCAGUAAUACAGCCCACUCCUGAAGUUUCUGUUACUAUAUGAUAAAACGAAGAUUAACAUGUGGGAUUAGAUGCCUCUGUCCUUGUUUCUAAAUUCCAACAACACAAGAUUAAAAUAUGCAACAAUGAGUUAUCAGGUAGAAGAGAGUUCAAGAAGAAAGGGUUUUAUGCUUUCAGGUUCGAGGACUAUAAUUGCACGGUGGUUUUCGUUGGCUCGCCCUUUUUUGUAAGGGAAACAAGUUUCAAAGGGGUGAACGGUACUAAAUUGGAGACUUUAAGGUUGGAUAUGAUGGACAAGACGACUUCCAUGUAUAGUGAUGCUGAUAUACUAAUUUUCAACACUGGUCAUUGGUGGACUCAUGACAAAACGAAGCUAGGAGAAAACUAUUACCAAGAAGGUAACGUUGUGUACCCGAGGCUUAAGGUUCUCGAAGCUUAUAAACGAGCUCUCACUACUUGGGCGAAAUGGGUCGAUGAGAACAUCAACCGCAGUCACACCCAUGUCAUAUUCCGAGGGUACUCCGUUACACAUUUCAGAGGAGGACAAUGCCAUAAGGAAACAGAACCAAUUAUCAAGUUAAUUUAUGAAGGGGGUUUCCACAUUGAGUUCUUUGGACUCCUCCAAGACAUCUGAGAUCUUCGGAAUAGUUUUGUUGAUAUAACCUUCUCUUUUAUCCCAAGACAUCCCUCGUCUUGCCAAUCAUAUGGCACAUAAGGUAGCGAAAAAGGCAUUAGUCUCUCGUGAGUUGAUGUAUUCAAAACUCUUCUAAUUUUUCAUUGAAAGUA
RNA transcript from Capsella rubella, 2742 nucleotides. RefSeq lists it as uncharacterized. The record is from RefSeq and is a predicted model, not a curated record. Lineage: Eukaryota; Viridiplantae; Streptophyta; Magnoliopsida; Brassicales; Brassicaceae. The transcript is spliced from 7 exons.